Sinocyclocheilus grahami is the source of this 814-nucleotide long non-coding RNA. RefSeq lists it as uncharacterized. The transcript is spliced from 5 exons. The record is from RefSeq and is a predicted model, not a curated record. Lineage: Eukaryota; Metazoa; Chordata; Actinopteri; Cypriniformes; Cyprinidae.
AACACAUGAUUAGGCAACUACAUCGGCGUAGCGCGUGCGUGUGAUGUCAUUUCGUCAUCAGCAGCGGACAUCUUGGGACUUGUCGCGACAUUUGGCACUCUUCAAUUUUCACGCUCAACUCCUGCAUGCUACGAUAUAGAAGUUGGCAACACUGCGGUUACUAGAGAAGAGGACAUCAAAAGAGUGAGAGUGAGAGUGAGGGUGAGGUGAGGUGAGGUGAGGAUGUCCAAACAGUGAGGUGCAUGCUGUUCUGUCAAAGUAUCAAGAAGGAAAUUCUCUGGUCCUGUGCAUCCUGCAACUCUUAAUGGCCCAUUUUAAAGAGAGAACAGAAUCACUUCUAAUUGAAGCUAAUGUAGCAGCAACUGCAGCCGACAUGGAAAGAAAUGGAUUACCGGAUUCACACGCACUGAUCUUUCAAGGUGAAUCCAUGACCCCAAGCAAGUAGAUGUUGUCAGUCGAAAGGGAAGCUGUCUUUGGCCCAUGUUCAGAGGCAUUUGUUGAGGGCCUGGCAGUAUUGUUUGCGACCUAUUACAACUUAAACCUUGCUUAUCAGGAUGAAGCUGCAUGCACCCUCGAAUUUAUUCAGAGGUAUGUCAGAACAUAAACGCUUACUGAAUAUGUAUUGUAGACAUCCAAAUUUCCAUUACUUUUUUUAGGUUUACAGGUUUGGAUGGCUUAUCAGGAUUAGAUGUUUUUUGGAAAAGUUUUCAAACAGCAAAAAAAUGCUGACUGCACACUGAAUUGAGUACAUACAACCAAAGUCCAGCAAAAAUAUUUUAUAAAAAAAUCUAUUACAAAAUAUGCAAACAAAUGU